RNAcentral lists this ribosomal RNA (348 nucleotides) under uncultured bacterium. RNAcentral describes it as "bacterial SSU rRNA". It matches the Rfam family "Bacterial small subunit ribosomal RNA", at positions 156 to 509 of the family's 1533-position model. The record is from RNAcentral.
AGGCGGAUUAAUCCCGCAUGUGGUCGUGAGAUGGCAUCUGACCACGACUAAAGGGUAUUCCGGUUCGGGAUGGGGAUGCGUCCGAUUAGGCAGCAGGCGGGUGACGGCCACCUGGCCUUCGAUCGGUAGGGUUCUGAGAGGAAGGUCCCCACAUUGGAACUGAGACACGGUCCAAACUCCUACGGGAGGCAGCAGUGAGGAAUAUUGGUCAAUGGGCGCAGGCCUGAACCAGCCAAGUAGCGUGUGGGACGACGGCCCUACGGGUUGUAACCACUUUCGCGGGAUAACAUCCGGGACUUGUCCCGGCUUGCAGGUACCGCGUGAAUAAGGACCGGCUAAUUCCGUGCC